GGCGAGUUGGAAAAGAUGGUUAAUUCGUCAGCCUCAUAAGCUGAAGAUCGCGGGUUCAAGUCCCGCACUCGCUC
RNAcentral lists this transfer RNA (74 nucleotides) under Fibrella forsythiae. Its description in RNAcentral is "tRNA-Met". It matches the Rfam family "tRNA". Rfam says of the family: Transfer RNA (tRNA) molecules are approximately 80 nucleotides in length. Their secondary structure includes four short double-helical elements and three loops (D, anti-codon, and T loops). Lineage: Bacteria; Pseudomonadati; Bacteroidota; Cytophagia; Cytophagales; Spirosomataceae. The record is from RNAcentral.